RNAcentral lists this ribosomal RNA (254 nucleotides) under uncultured bacterium. Its description in RNAcentral is "partial 16S ribosomal RNA". It matches the Rfam family "Bacterial small subunit ribosomal RNA", at positions 524 to 776 of the family's 1533-position model. The record is from RNAcentral.
UACGGAGGAUCCAAGCGUUAUCCGGAAUUACUGGGCGUAAAGAGUUGCGUAGGUGGCAUUGUAAGUUGGUAGUGAAAGCGUUCGGCUCAACCGAAUAUACAUUACCAAAACUGCAAAGCUAGAGGACGAGAGAGGUAAUUGGAAUUCCUAAUGUAGGGGUAAAAUCCGUUGAUAUUAGGAGGAACACCGAUGGCGUAGGCAGAUUACUGGCUCGUUCCUGACACUAAGGCACGAAAGCGUGGGGAGCAAACAGG